This is a small nuclear RNA of Oryctolagus cuniculus (rabbit), 102 nucleotides long. Its record names the gene U2. It matches the Rfam family "U2 spliceosomal RNA". From Rfam's summary of the family: U2 is a small nuclear RNA (snRNA) component of the spliceosome (involved in pre-mRNA splicing). NCBI's taxonomy places the organism in Eukaryota, Metazoa, Chordata, Mammalia, Lagomorpha, Leporidae. The record is from Ensembl.
AUCGCUUCUCGGCCUUUUGGCUAAGAUCAAGUGUAGUAACAGUACUCUGGAUGACACCAUAAAUUUAUACUUUAUUGUUGUUUAUUUUCUCAAAUAACCAAU